CGGGGGAUCCCCGGGUGGGAGGUCCUUUAUCUCCACACUCUUGCGCAGGAGGGUGACCGUGGUUGCAGCGGGUGGCGCUCACGGUCAGGGGUUUGCUCGUGUUGGCUAAGAGGCUUUACCCGGAGGGAUUAAGCAUAUCAAUAAGCGGAGGAAAAGAAACCAACAGGGAUUGCCUCAGUAACUGCGAGUGAAGCGGCAAAAGCUCAAAUUUGAAAUCUGGCCCGUCUCCGGCGGCCCGAGUUGUAAUUUGGAGGGGCAUCUUCAGGGGUGGGCGCCGUCCUAAGUUCCUUGGAACAGGACGUCACAGAGGGUGAGAAUCCCGUGCCUGGGCGGCAGUCCCGCUCCAUGUGAAGUGUCUCCGACGAGUCGAGUUGUUUGGGAAUGCAGCUCAAAAUGGGUGGUAAAUUUCAUCUAAAGCUAAAUAUUGGCGAGAGACCGAUAGCGCACAAGUAGAGUGAUCGAAAGAUGAAAAGCACUUUGAAAAGAGAGUUAAAAAGUACGUGAAAUUGUUGAAAGGGAAGCGCUUGAGAUCAGACUCGUCGGACGGCAACCAUCGGUGCUUCUGUGCCGUGCACUUGCCGACCGACGGGCCAGCAUCGGUUCCGGCGGCGGGAAAAAGGCCCGGGCAAUGUGGCUCUCUUCGGGGAGUGUUAUAGGCCCGGGUGUCAUACCGCCUGCUGGGACCGAGGACCGCGCUUCGGCUAGGAUGCUGGCGUAAUGGUCUUAAGCGACCCGUCUGAAAUCACGACCUGGAGCUCGAAUAGUC
This 766-nucleotide ribosomal RNA is filed under the name Micronematobotrys verrucosus. RNAcentral's name for it is "eukaryotic LSU rRNA". The stretch from base 96 to 766 matches the Rfam family "Eukaryotic large subunit ribosomal RNA", at positions 1 to 684 of the family's 3401-position model. Lineage: Eukaryota; Fungi; Ascomycota; Pezizomycetes; Pezizales; Pyronemataceae. The record is from RNAcentral.